CUCGUUUCCUUACUGUAAAAUGUACCUCCGUUUCUAAUGAUCCACAAAAAAGUAAUCUCCCUUGGAAAUUUUUUGAAGAAUUCUCCACAAUUGUUAUUUGGUGACGCUUACUAAUGCAAUAAAUAUCCAAUAAUGCUAAGAUUUGGGUUCGGGCAUUUCAAAAUGGACAAGUCUUAGUGUACAUUACAUAGAAAUGUUCACACCUCUCACAUGGGGUGGGGCCCACUUCGCAUGAGUCCCACCCCAUGCGAGGAGUGUAGACACUCUCUAUGUAUCCAAAUUAUUUAUACCAAGCACAAUCCUUUCAAAAUAGUCACAAUUUUUUCUCAUAUAAAACUUGCACUGCAUGAUAAACAACGGAAUUCAUUUAUGCAUAACAAAGUUAGUACAUACCCCUAUCAAUACAUAAUAAAAAUAGCACUAUUAUAUGUUUAGUAUCUAGACAGUAAAUUAGACAACCACUUUUUAUCCACAUAUUCUGUGGGAUCCACAAGCAAUAUCCAUUUAUCCAUCACUUAUUCUAUCAUUUUAUAAUUCAUAUCGUUUACACACAACUGCCAGACAUGCUUUUAAGACAGAACAUUCACAACUCAAAAAUAGUGGAAAUACAUACCUUGGAACAAACUUUUACACUAGUAUCUUGGGUACAUUAAACACCAUUGCAGGUCAGUCUAUGACCUGUGAAACCUAAAGAUGGGCACCAAGAAGAGAGCAUAUCCUCGGAUUGCCGGCAGGAAUGCAUAUUAAAAGAGAGAGAUGAGCAUCAACAUGACAAUGUUUGGCUAAAUUUAAAAAGUGUAAAGUCAUAAAAAAAAUGUAGAACUCCUAUCUGCCGUAUUAAAGCCAUUGGAAAUGCCACAUGACAAAAAACUAUUAUGACAAUAAGGUACAAUUUACUUGCAUAUAAGUAACCUUUUUUCAUAGUAGGCGGAAAAGUCACUUAACCAAACAUGUUUAUAAACAAAAAGUUACUUGCAUUAUUAAGCUUAGCCAGACAUGCACCAUAUUCAAAAAACAAACUACUUGAAAACCAAAGUUGCCCAAAGCUUUGCAUGCGCACAGCUUGAAUUGCCAGCACAAAUAUGAAUCCAUAUACAACAAGCGUGGCAAAAGUUACAACAAGCUUUGCACAUACCAGCUUGAAUUCAGAUGUUUCAAAUGGUUCAGGAAUGAUACAAGUACCCAAGAAACUCAUAUACCAAGUUCAACAUAAAUAUAUAAACAGUCUAGAUUGCAUAAAGAACUUAAAUGCCAUAUAAAAUCAAGCAGCUACUAACAAAUGCAACUUAAUUCGAAAAAAGCAAUCUAGGUUUCUCUCAGAGGCCUAGAUGAAUGGUAUUAUUAAAUAAGAUUGACUUUACAUAGCUUUCAGGGCCAAGAAUACAAUAGCUAUUUUCCGAACAAAUUAACCAAUAGAAGUUAAAAAUCCUUGCUAAAAUUCUGCACUUGUUAAAUCAGAGGAGUUGAACUCGAAACUAUGCCUAAAAGUGAUAAUGGAGAAAAUAAGGGGAAAAAAAUCAGCAAGUCGUACAACACAAUUCUGGUCCUCUGAGUACAUUCAAUUUCAAGAAACAAAAACAAAAUUCUUCCUCACUAAGUAUCCAAGACUUGAAAAUUACAGGUCUAAAUGUAUAAUGAUAAACCAUUACAACUAAGUAAAAAUUCAUUCAUAGUACUUUAGCUAAAACUGAUAAAAGACAAUCAAGUAUUGAAAAUGCAACAGGGUAGCAAAUGUGUACCUAUCUCAUCUUCAUAAACUGAUGUAGGAUAAUCAUAUUGCAAAUAGGAUAGGAAUUCAUUUCGUAUUGUAUUAGGAUUUUAUUUCUUGUUUAAAUUAAAACUUUU
This 1845-nucleotide long non-coding RNA is filed under the name Olea europaea subsp. europaea. The record is from RNAcentral. Lineage: Eukaryota; Viridiplantae; Streptophyta; Magnoliopsida; Lamiales; Oleaceae.